UGCAGUCGGACGGUAGCACAAAGGAGCUUGCUCCUUGGGUGACGAGUGGCGGACGGGUGAGUAAUGUCUGGGGAUCUGCCCGAUAGAGGGGGAUAACCACUGGAAACGGUGGCUAAUACCGCAUAACGUCGCAAGACCAAAGAGGGGGACCUUCGGGCCUCUCACUAUCGGAUGAACCCAGAUGGGAUUAGCUAGUAGGCGGGGUAAUGGCCCACCUAGGCGACGAUCCCUAGCUGGUCUGAGAGGAUGACCAGCCACACUGGAACUGAGACACGGUCCAGACUCCUACGGGAGGCAGCAGUGGGGAAUAUUGCACAAUGGGCGCAAGCCUGAUGCAGCCAUGCCGCGUGUAUGAAGAAGGCCUUCGGGUUGUAAAGUACUUUCAGCGGGGAGGAAGGCGAUGGGGUUAAUAACCGUGUCGAUUGACGUUACCCGCAGAAGAAGCACCGGCUAACUCCGUGCCAGCAGCCGCGGUAAUACGGAGGGUGCAAGCGUUAAUCGGAAUUACUGGGCGUAAAGCGCACGCAGGCGGUCUGUUAAGUCAGAUGUGAAAUCCCCGGGCUUAACCUGGGAACUGCAUUUGAAACUGGCAGGCUUGAGUCUUGUAGAGGGGGGUAGAAUUCCAGGUGUAGCGGUGAAAUGCGUAGAGAUCUGGAGGAAUACCGGUGGCGAAGGCGGCCCCCUGGACAAAGACUGACGCUCAGGUGCGAAAGCGU
This 716-nucleotide ribosomal RNA is filed under the name Pantoea sp. W1-PCAi-E14. RNAcentral's name for it is "bacterial SSU rRNA". It matches the Rfam family "Bacterial small subunit ribosomal RNA", at positions 56 to 762 of the family's 1533-position model. Lineage: Bacteria; Pseudomonadati; Pseudomonadota; Gammaproteobacteria; Enterobacterales; Erwiniaceae. The record is from RNAcentral.